RNAcentral lists this ribosomal RNA (497 nucleotides) under uncultured bacterium. RNAcentral describes it as "partial 16S ribosomal RNA". It matches the Rfam family "Bacterial small subunit ribosomal RNA", at positions 28 to 507 of the family's 1533-position model. The record is from RNAcentral.
GAUGAACGCUGGCGGCGUGCCUAAUACAUGCCAGUCGAGCGAACAGACGAGGAGCUUGCUCCUCUGACGUUAGCGGCGGACGGGUGAGUAACACGUGGAUAACCUACCUAUAAGACUGGGAUAACUUCGGGAAACCGGAGCUAAUACUGGAUAAUAUAUUGAACCGCAUGGUUCAAUAGUGAAAGACGGUUUUGCUGUCACUUAUAGAUGGAUCCGCGCCGCAUUAGCUAGUUGGUAAGGUAACGGCUUACCAAGGCAACGAUGCGUAGCCGACCUGAGAGGGUGAUCGGCCACACUGGAACUGAGACACGGUCCAGACUCCUACGGGAGGCAGCAGUAGGGAAUCUUGCGCAAUGGGCGAAAGCUUGACGGAGCAACGCCGCGUGAGUGAUGAAGGUCUUCGGAUCGUAAAACUCUGUUAUUAGGGAAGAACAAAUGUGUAAGUAACUAUGCACGUCUUGACGGUACCUAAUCAGAAAGCCACGGCUAACUACGUG